Molecule: long non-coding RNA, 683 nt
Organism: Pistacia vera
Lineage: Eukaryota; Viridiplantae; Streptophyta; Magnoliopsida; Sapindales; Anacardiaceae
Exons: 2
Source: RefSeq, a predicted model, not a curated record
UCACAGCCGCCCCUCCCCUUUUUCCUCGCUGAUAUUAUUUUGCCCUCUCUCCCUUUGUCUUUCACUAAACCUGUCUUCUCUCCCUCGCUUGAGCAGAUCACCGGAGACAAACAACCAAACAGGCCGCUGCUUGGACCUGUCUGGUUGACUUUGUCUCUGGUGAUCUUCAAAUGCUGGAACUCGGACCAGCAUUUGCCGUGGAUAAAAUACUAGCUCCUGUGUACUUUAACUCUGGUUUUAUUUCAUGUUCAUACUUACGGAUUCAUUAUAAGUGAACCUUUCCCAGAUGAAUUUGGAUGUUAUUAGUGCACUUGUUUUAUAGGAUUUUAACCUUUAUCGUACUUCCAUAAUAAUAUUCCAUAAUGAAUUAAUUUAACAUUAUGCUACUUUUCUUUUUUAUUUUUCCAGGAAAGCACAUUAUAUUUGGAAGAGUAUGCAGGGGAAUGGAACUGAUCAGAAGGCUCGCAGUGUCCAGACUGAUAAAGAUGAUUCAUGAUAGGCCCAUCCAUGAUGUGAAAAUACUUAAGACCUCGGUUAAAGAUUGAUGCCUUGUAGCUGUCGUGUAACGAUUCCAAAAUGCUGUAACCUCUGAUUUUGGAUGUACAAACAUUCUUCAAAACACAUAAAUUCCGGACGUAAGCAUCUCAUUGAAAUGGAAGAAAAAAUAUGACAUUUGAAGAAUA